Molecule: ribosomal RNA, 473 nt
Filed under: uncultured bacterium
Lineage: Bacteria
Description: bacterial SSU rRNA
Rfam family: Bacterial small subunit ribosomal RNA
Source: RNAcentral
UGGGGAAUAUUGGACAAUGGGGGCAACCCUGAUCCAGCGAUGCCGCGUGAGUGAUGAAGGCCUUCGGAUCGUAAACCCCUGUCGAAUGGGACGAAAGACUCGCGAGUGAAUACUUCGCGAGAGUGACGGUACCGUUAAAGGAAGCCACGGCUAACUCUGUGCCAGCAGCCGCGGUAAUACAGAGGUGGCAAGCGUUGUUCGGAAUUACUGGGCGUAAAGGGCGCGUAGGCGGCCCUCUAAGUCAGACGUGAAAUCCCCCGGCUUAACCUGGGAACUGCGUCUGAUACUGGAGGGCUUGAGUAUGGGAGAGGGAUGUAGAAUUCCAGGUGUAGCGGUGAAAUGCGUAGAUAUCUGGAGGAAUACCGGUGGCGAAGGCGGCAUCCUGGACCAUUACUGACGCUGAGGCGCGAAAGCUAGGGGAGCAAACAGGAUUAGAUACCCAAGUAGUCCCUGAGCGGGCUGGCAAGGCGCAU